This is an RNA transcript of Osmerus eperlanus (European smelt), 953 nucleotides long. It is a transcript of the gene named otoraplin-like, with no coding region annotated. The record is from RefSeq and is a predicted model, not a curated record. NCBI's taxonomy places the organism in Eukaryota, Metazoa, Chordata, Actinopteri, Osmeriformes, Osmeridae. The transcript is spliced from 5 exons.
AUUCAUUUUUAUGGAGAAGAGAAUUUUACAGCAGUACUUUCACAUACGCGUCCUCUUACAUUAAGUUUCUCUCUAUCUCUCUGUCUCUCCUUCCGAUAUGUACCUUACAGUUUCUCUCACUCUUCUGGUCCUCUAUUUGGGACCAUUGGAUCGGACCACAAGUUAUGUUCUCUUGGAGAAACUGGCAGACAGUAAACUCUGUGCAGAGAAGGAGUGUUCAUAUGCUCUGUCCAUGGCCUUGGCUUUAGAUGACUUCACAGCUCCUGACUGCAGAUUCAUCAAUAUUAAGAAGGGGCAGAUGAUCUAUGUGUACUCCAAACUAAUACCAGCAGAGGGUGCUGGAGUCUUCUGGUCGGGCAGUGUUUACAGUGAGCGUUAUGUGGACCAGAUGGGAAUCAUUGGCUACUUCCCCAGCAACCUGGUAAACGAGACGUACAUAUUCCAGAAGGACAUGGUUCAGCUCCCCACCAGUGUCAUGGACUUCCAUUGUGUUUGAACUUGCACAGACAUGUCUCAGCUAUUGCAAACAAGAACAGAUAGAGAAACUGAAAUUAUUCAAGAUGCUAUUUUCUACCAAUAUUAUUUAGAUUUGUGUACUGAAAUUACAAACCUUUUUAAUAAAACAUUAUUUCUAUUCCAUGCAUAGAACUGCCUCAUGAAGAGACCUUUUCUUUUCACAUCUCGGUAUUCAGGGUUAAGAAUCAGAAUCAGAAUCCGGUUUAUUGCCAAAAACAUCGAAACAUCGAAUGUGUUACAAGUUUGUAAACCGUCCUGAGCCAACAAUUGUUGUGUGGAUGGAGAGUGAAGAGCAUUACAAGGUGUGGAUGGCAGGUUCAUCUGGAAGCCUGAGGCCUGUGAGGUUGUGAGGGCGGUCAGCAGUCAAGGGGAGAUGCUGAGGUAUGCUAAUGACCCAUCUGCUGCUUAGCCUUUCGCCCACGCCUCAACUGAAUGAG